GACGAACGCUGGCGGCGUGCUUAACACAUGCAAGUCGGACGAUGAAGAAAAGAAUUGAAGCUUCGGCAGAAAUUCAUUUCGGAUUAGUGGCAGACGGGUGAGUAACGCGUGAGCAACCUACCUCUUACAAAGGGAUAGCCUCGGGAAACCGGGAUUAAUACCAUAUAACAUUGCGACGAAGCAUUUCGAUGCAAUCAAAGCUACGGCGGUAAGAGAUGGGCUCGCGUCCCAUUAACCAGAUGGUGAGGUAACGGCUCACCAUAGUAACGAUGGGUAACCGGCCUGAGAGGGUGAACGGUCACACUGGAACUGAGACACGGUCCAGACUCCUACGGGAGGCAGCAGUGGGGAAUAUUGCACAAUGGAGGGAACUCUGAUGCAGCGACGCCGCGUGAGUGAUGAAGGAAUUCGUUUCGUAAAACUCUGUUCUAUGGGAAGAAAAGGACUGUACCAUAGGAGAAAGCUCCGGCUAAAUACGUG
This 480-nucleotide ribosomal RNA is filed under the name uncultured bacterium. Its description in RNAcentral is "partial 16S ribosomal RNA". It matches the Rfam family "Bacterial small subunit ribosomal RNA", at positions 28 to 507 of the family's 1533-position model. The record is from RNAcentral.